CCAAAAGCAAUGAUGGAGAAAAGUAAGCGAGAAACGGAUAUUCCAGAGAGAAGGUAUCAAUGGCUGAAAGUACCUUUAUUAUACAGCUUGCCCAAGUUCCCUCCGGAGCUGCAGCUUUGAACCGUGUUAUGAUAUUUUUCAUAUGUAGAGGCUGCCGGUUAAAACCGUUAUAUUUACAAAGAGUCCGGAUAUUCUAUUCGGAAAUCUGGGUGGUACCGCGAAGAUAGCCUUCGUCCCUUUA
RNAcentral lists this non-coding RNA (241 nucleotides) under Ruminiclostridium cellulolyticum. Its description in RNAcentral is "Clostridium cellulolyticum T-box sequence". It matches the Rfam family "T-box leader". From Rfam's summary of the family: Uncharged tRNA acts as the effector for transcription antitermination of genes in the T-box leader family. The record is from RNAcentral. Lineage: Bacteria; Bacillati; Bacillota; Clostridia; Eubacteriales; Oscillospiraceae.